GUGCUAACUUCAGCAGCACAAAUACUAAAAUUGGAAUGAUACAGAAAACAUUAGCAUGGCCCCUGUGCAAGGAUGACAUGCAAAUUCAUGAAGCAUUUCAUAUUUUA
Small nuclear RNA from Lepus europaeus (European hare), 107 nucleotides. Lineage: Eukaryota; Metazoa; Chordata; Mammalia; Lagomorpha; Leporidae. The record is from RefSeq and is a predicted model, not a curated record.